Cricetulus griseus (Chinese hamster) is the source of this 167-nucleotide small nuclear RNA. Its record names the gene U1. It matches the Rfam family "U1 spliceosomal RNA". Rfam says of the family: U1 is a small nuclear RNA (snRNA) component of the spliceosome (involved in pre-mRNA splicing). Its 5' end forms complementary base pairs with the 5' splice junction, thus defining the 5' donor site of an intron. There are significant differences in sequence and secondary structure between metazoan and yeast U1 snRNAs, the latter being much longer (568 nucleotides as compared to 164 nucleotides in human). The record is from Ensembl. NCBI's taxonomy places the organism in Eukaryota, Metazoa, Chordata, Mammalia, Rodentia, Cricetidae.
GUACUUACCUGGCAGAGAAAAUACCAUGAUCAGAAGGGUGGUUUUCCCAAGACGAGGCUCAUUCAUUGCACUCGGGAUAGCUAAGCCCUGCACGAAAUAUCUCUGAAUUUUGGAAACUUCAUUGUGUAAUUUGUGAUAGUGUAGGCCUGCAUUUGUGUGGUCUUCUU